GAUGAACGCUAGGCUACAGGCUUAACACAUGCAAGUCGAGGGGCAGCAUGGUCUUAGCUUGCUAAGGCCGAUGGCGACCGGCGCACGGGUGAGUAACGCGUAUCCAACCUGCCUUACACUCUUGGACAGCCUUCUGAGAGGGAGAUUAAUACAAGAUGUUAUCAUGAGUAAGCAUUUUCGCAUGAUUAAAGGUUUACCGGUGUAAGAUGGGGAUGCGUUCCAUUAGAUAGUAGGCGGGGUAACGGCCCACCUAGUCUUCGAUGGAUAGGGGUUCUGAGAGGAAGGUCCCCCACAUUGGAACUGAGACACGGUCCAAACUCCUACGGGAGGCAGCAGUGAGGAAUAUUGGUCAAUGGACGAGAGUCUGAACCAGCCAAGUAGCGUGAAGGAUGAAGGUUCUAUGGAUUGUAAACUUCUUUUAUACGGGAAUAAACGAAUCCACGUGUGGAUUUUUGCAUGUACCGUAUGAAUAAGGAUCGGCUAACUCCGUGCCAGCAGCCGCGGUAAUACGGAGGAUCCGAGCGUUAUCCGGAUUUAUUGGGUUUAAAGGGAGCGUAGAUGGGUUGUUAAGUCAGUUGUGAAAGUUUGCGGCUCAACCGUAAAAUUGCAAUUGAUACUGGCAGUCUUGAGUACAGUUGAGGUAGGCGGAAUUCGUGGUGUAGCGGUGAAAUGCUUAGAUAUCACGAAGAACUCCGAUUGCGAAGGCAGCUUACUAACCUGUAACUGACAUUGAUGCUCGAAAGUGUGGGUAUCAAACAGG
This 760-nucleotide ribosomal RNA is filed under the name uncultured Bacteroidales bacterium. Its description in RNAcentral is "bacterial SSU rRNA". It matches the Rfam family "Bacterial small subunit ribosomal RNA", at positions 28 to 776 of the family's 1533-position model. Lineage: Bacteria; Pseudomonadati; Bacteroidota; Bacteroidia; Bacteroidales. The record is from RNAcentral.